RNAcentral lists this ribosomal RNA (496 nucleotides) under uncultured bacterium. RNAcentral describes it as "partial 16S ribosomal RNA". It matches the Rfam family "Bacterial small subunit ribosomal RNA", at positions 29 to 507 of the family's 1533-position model. The record is from RNAcentral.
AUGAACGCUGGCGGCGUGCCUAAUACCUGCAAGUCGAGCGAACAGAUGAGGAGCUUGCUCCUCUGACGUUAGCGGCGGACGGGUGAGUAACACGUGGAUAACCUACCUAUAAGACUGGGAUAACUUCGGGAAACCGGAGCUAAUACCGGAUAAUAUAUUGAACCGCAUGGUUCAAUAGUGAAAGACGGUUUUGCUGUCACUUAUAGAUGGAUCCGCGCCGCAUUAGCUAGUUGGCAAGGUAACGGCUUACCAAGGCAACGAUGCAUAGCCGACCUGAGAGGGUGAUCGGCCACACUGGAACUGAGACACGGUCCAGACUCCUACGGGAGGCAGCAGUAGGGAAUCUUCCGCAAUGGGCGAAAGCCUGACGGAGCAACGCCGCGUGAGUGAUGAAGGUCUUCGGAUCGUAAAACUCUGUUAUUAGGGAAGAACAAAUGUGUAAGUAACUAUGCACGUCUUGACGGUACCUAAUCAGAAAGCCACGGCUAACUACGUG